This is a long non-coding RNA of Mugil cephalus (flathead mullet), 2592 nucleotides long. RefSeq lists it as uncharacterized. NCBI's taxonomy places the organism in Eukaryota, Metazoa, Chordata, Actinopteri, Mugiliformes, Mugilidae. The transcript has 2 exons. The record is from RefSeq and is a predicted model, not a curated record.
CUCCGUAGACGGUUUUUUUUAUUAAUGUUGCUUUUUUUUUUAAUUCGAAAGAAUUCCCGGAAGUGGGCUGUUAUUGUUAUUGUUGCGGCUAACUUCACGGCAGGAGUAGGAGGAGAAGGAGGACGAAGAGGAGGGAGAGGGGGGAUCCGUACAACUUUCCUCCUUCAAAAAACCUCGCAGAGCAGAAGUGGGUACAGUCUGGAGUGGGACAGCAGGCUUCGCGGAACACACACAUUAAAAGAAACUACAGGCAUGAAAUCAUCCGAUUUGCCGAAGCGUUCGUCGUCCAGAAGUUCAUCACCGCAGCGAGGACAAGUCACCAGAAGACAAACUUUUAUCCCUUGACCUCCCACCGUGAAGCCGGUGUUCUGCCAGGAGCCCUGUCUGCUGCUUAAAUCCAUCCCGAAACACACAAAAGAGCAAACCUGAGCCGACGUCUUCCACCGCGCGAGUGGCCGAGGUGGAGCCCAUGUUCUGGUAACUCUGCUACUUGUUUAAAAAAAAGAAAAGAAAAGAAAAGAAAGCUGCAGGAAUACACACUAAAAGAAGAAACGGGUGCAGUGAGCCCAGGGAGACAUUGUUUGACAUUAGUGUGCACCUAUUGUUUUACAAUGUUGAGAAGACAGCUGCUAUAGAUGGAGAAUGCAAAGUUAGAUAACAGAUCUGCAUCGACUGCAUCAAACCUUUACCUGCUUUAACAAGAGACAGAAAAGAUUUUUACGUGCUCCGGUCUUUUUUGAAGUUGAAGUAGGCUAUUCCAAAAAUACUGUGAAGUCUAAUCAGGUCAUACAUUAAUAGAAGUCAGGGGAUUAGUAGAACAAAGGGUUGCAGAGGAGGACAAACCUCUGUAAGUCAAAGGCUGCAGACCCGUAUGGGGGUAAUGUAUAGGGGCCGAUUGUGUUUAGCGUCAGUGCCUGUUUGUUUUACGACAAUCGCCAACCAGAGGUUAGCAUUAAAAGUAAUCAUUUAUCUGUAAUUGGAUAAAUAAAUACUCGGCCCUGCAUGUUCACCCGUCUCUUUCCUCCCAUGGGACGGAGGUCGGUUUGGUUCCCAGGCAGAGUCGAGGAGAAACUCUCACACUGAGGGAACAUGUAAGUAUUCUGGGAGUAAGCAGUGCAGGGCUGGAUGGACACCUCGCAGUGGUUUACUGGUUCUUAAGAGUGUGGGUCUUUUAUGUGCAACUAAGCUACAGUGAAAAACAAUUCCCCUUGUGGAUCAUUAAAGUCCAUCUAAGUCUAAAACGACAAAGAGCAAAUCAUUUUUUUUGUUGUUGUUGGUACAGAAGAUGCAGCUGUCAUCUAACUGUUGUGAAUGCACCUCAAAUCUCCCGCUGACCAUCAUGUCCCAUGCAAGCACCCAAAAAACAAGUAUAUAUUUUGUGAAUACACACUCUACAUGUAUGUGAAAAUAAACAUGGUUUUCUCAAGUUUUACAUUUUUGUGCAUCCUGGUGUAAAAGUGUUAGCAUGUAGCAUCAGAGCCAAUGAUCUGCUUUGCGACGAUAUUGGGUUCAGAUUGUCGCGCCAGCGAUCUGAACCCGCGACUAUGGUCUGUAUUCUGAAAAAUUCUCGUCUCUAUAGCGAUUAAACAGGAAGUGCUUUAGUUAGCCGGGUGCAGUUUGUGUCCUUGUGAGCUCAGCCUCGGUCUUUGUGCAUGUAACGUUAUGUUUGUUGAGUGUGCGUAUGUGUGUGUGUGUAAGCCAGUUUGUUUGUGUUGAUCUAGGCCUCUGAGCUCUUUGUGUUUUGAGGAGGGGUCUCCGGCCUCUCGGGGCUGACCUCAGUGUUGUCAUGGAGACGGCAAUAGCCACUUCCUGAAUUCUCGGCCCAUCCCGCGGCACAUUAUACAGGCACGGGGAUCAAGAGUCAGACUCGGAUCAGAGCUGGAGUGGAAACAAGUUAAAAAUGGCGUAAAACGCAAACGGCGAUCUAGUUUUAAAAUGGGAAGUAAUGCAGCAGACCAGACUUUACAUUAACACGUUAAUAAAUACACAUCUGCAAAUGCAGUUGUCUGUAUAAAUCUCUCAGAGCUUGGUUAAGUUCACUUUGUUUCAGAUCCCAGAUGUAGGUUGUAAGUUAGUGGUUUCCUUUAGUUCAGUAUUGGUUAUAAUAAAUAAUGAGAAAGUUUGAUUGGCUUUCCUGCUGCCUUCCUGUCGUACAACCAAGAACGUUGUUUGUCUUAAUAAGCCAUAGAGAUAUUAAACAGCUAAAUCAUUAGCAUGAGCUAAAUAUUAUUGGUUUAAAAGGUUUACAGAUGUAUGCAUUUUAGUUUUUCCCUUUAAAGUAUUGAGUUGGCAACCGGACCUUUUCCUGGUUUUGCAAAAAUGUCAACCUACGUCCCCGAGGCUCACUAAUUAACAGGUCAUAUACAUCAUUUAACGAAGACACAGGCAGGAUUGUAAAUUAUUGCUUUUGUAGGUGGUUGUGAUCUUGCCUUUGUGAACUUUAGACUCUUUCUGUGCCUGCUAGUUUGCCACCUCUAACUGUCACGAAUAAAUGACUUCUUAAAACAAAAUGUCCGACACAUAUCACAGUAAGUAUAAACACACAAAUGAUGGCAUUCAUAUAUAAGGAAAGCAUGUUAAAAAAAAAAGAGA